CUGGUGGAUUAGUGGCGAACGGGUGAGUAACACGUGAGUAACCUGCCCUUCACUUUGGGAUAACUUCGAGAAAUCGGGGCUAAUACCGGAUAUGACUACUGGCCGCAUGGUUGGUGGUGGAAAGUUUUUCGGUGAGGGAUGGGCUCGCGGCCUAUCAGUUUGUUGGUGAGGUAGUGGCUCACCAAGGCGAUGACGGGUAGCCGGCCUGAGAGGGCGACCGGCCACACUGGGACUGAGACACGGCCCAG
This 248-nucleotide ribosomal RNA is filed under the name uncultured Actinomycetales bacterium. RNAcentral's name for it is "partial 16S ribosomal RNA". It matches the Rfam family "Bacterial small subunit ribosomal RNA", at positions 84 to 334 of the family's 1533-position model. The record is from RNAcentral. Lineage: Bacteria; Bacillati; Actinomycetota; Actinomycetes; Actinomycetales.